AGCCUGAACGCUGGCGGCGUGGCUAAGACAUGCAAGUCGUACGGGUGUAGCAAUACACCAGUGGCGAACGGGUGAGUAAUGUAUCGCUAAUGUGCCCCGGAUUCUGGGAUAGCUAUCCGAAAGGGUAGGUAAUACCAGAUGAUAUAACUUUGCCGCAUGGCAGAGUUCUCAAAGGAGUAAUCCGCUCUGGGAGCAGGCGAUAUCGUAUCAGCUAGUUGGUGAGGUAACGGCCUACCAAGGCGACGACGGGUA
This 252-nucleotide ribosomal RNA is filed under the name uncultured bacterium. RNAcentral describes it as "partial small subunit ribosomal RNA". It matches the Rfam family "Bacterial small subunit ribosomal RNA", at positions 26 to 285 of the family's 1533-position model. The record is from RNAcentral.